This 26-nucleotide non-coding RNA is filed under the name Homo sapiens (human). Lineage: Eukaryota; Metazoa; Chordata; Mammalia; Primates; Hominidae. The record is from RNAcentral.
GAAGGUGAUGAUGACCAAACGGACCA